AUGAAAAUGAUAGAGGUCUGUGGAUUAAGAAAAUGGCCAAGGCCAAUCGGAUGGGUGUGACUACUCUGCAACAGAGGGUACCCAUUUUGGCGGGUGCUGGGUUUUGUGCAGUUCAUUCGGUUCCUCAUUUUUCCAAGACACUGACGAGGUGGAACAGUGCGAGGGGCAGGAGUAUAACUCCUCGUCGCCUGCUUCUAAGCCUUGGGGCUUCAUUUUGGGCUCAGCUCAUGAGUAUGGCUGGUAACGUUGGCGGUAGAUUCUUCAUUGCCUCUGCAAGACAGCCGGGUCCUUCUCCCGUUGAACAGGCAUUAAAGAAUGUGGAAUGGCCAGAGCAAUUCCCCUUCAGGGAGGAGGAUUUUCAGCGCUUUGAUGAGUCACGAGAUUCAAUAUUCUAUGAGACUCCGCGCUUUGUGACACAUAUUGAUGACCCAGCCAUUGCUGCACUUACUAGGUAUUAUUCAAAGGUGUUCCCUCCAAGUAACACUCCAGGAGUGUGUCUCCUAGAUAUGUGUAGUAGUUGGGUCAGCCAUUUUCCUGCCGGAUACAAGCAAGAUAGGGUAGUUGGAUUAGGCAUGAACGAAGAAGAGCUUAAGCGGAAUCUGGUUCUAACAGAGUAUGUUGUGCAAGACCUAAACACAAACCCUAAACUUCCAUUUGAUGAUGAUUCCUUUGAUAUCAUUACUAAUGUGGUCAGCGUCGACUAUCUAACAAAGCCUCUUGAUGUCUUUAAGGAGGUGUGUCGAGUUCUCAAACCAGGUGGUUUGGCCUUAAUGAGCUUCUCCAACCGCUGCUUUUGGACUAAAGCAAUCUCAAUAUGGACAUCUACUGGUGAUGCUGAUCAUGCUAUGAUUGUUGGCUCAUACUUCCAUUACGCUGGUGGUUUUGAACCUCCUCAGGCUGUGGAUAUAUCUCCCAACCCUGGGCGCUCAGACCCCAUGUACAUUGUAUAUUCCAGGAAGUUACCUUCAGCUUGAGCUAAAAAGUGGCAUCAAACUUUUGGCGCUGAAGGGUACUUGAAGCUCACUCUCUCUCUCUCCUCUCAUUCUCUCUCCCUCUCUCCUCGAUUUCAUGACGGAUUUUUGCCCGAUCGAAAAUCCGAAGAUACCACUGGACUCCAUUCGCCGCUGUCGUCAUUUCUACCGGAGCGGAUCGGUGGUAGGAGCGACGUAAGCGUAUUCCCUGGGGAGUUGAAUUUCGGGCGCUAAGGGCGUAGGAUUUGGGUCCUAAGGAAUUCAUCAAUAGCCAGGAGCUCCUGAGAGACUGGCGGGUCAGGGCCGCCGUUGAGCUAGUGAGAUUACCCUGUGAGAAGGGUAAGAUUUUGUACUAGGGUUAGAAUUAUUUUGUGUUUGACCCUAGAGAUAUUUGGAUGUAUGUGAGGAUGUAUAGAAUGCUCUGGUAUUAUGUUUUAUGAUUGGAUGUUUGAGAUUUUAUGUUUACUGCUGCUAGGUUUUCCGCUGUGUAUGACAGGUGUCCCCGCUACCCACGGGUUCGGGUUGACCAUUUUAUUUAUUAUGUGAUAUUUUAUGUUAAGAAAUUGAGGGACGUUACAGCUUGGGGC
This is an RNA transcript of Malania oleifera, 1558 nucleotides long. RefSeq lists it as uncharacterized. The transcript is spliced from 12 exons. The record is from RefSeq and is a predicted model, not a curated record. Lineage: Eukaryota; Viridiplantae; Streptophyta; Magnoliopsida; Santalales; Ximeniaceae.